This is a long non-coding RNA of Astyanax mexicanus (Mexican tetra), 387 nucleotides long. RefSeq lists it as uncharacterized. The transcript is spliced from 3 exons. NCBI's taxonomy places the organism in Eukaryota, Metazoa, Chordata, Actinopteri, Characiformes, Acestrorhamphidae. The record is from RefSeq and is a predicted model, not a curated record.
UCUGGCUUUUCAUUAUUUAAAAAAACCCUAUCCAUAUAAAUCUCUCCAUCCAGACAGAGUGAACAUUAGCCACUUACCGCGCUAGCUCUUUCGCCUUUCAGAGACGCUGAACGGUUCCAGUAAAUGCUCCCUGCAGAAGCAGAAGAAAAGAAGGGACCACCUUUCCAAAAGGGUGCAAUUCGAUUCCAGGCACAAUGCUGAUGCCUUGUUCUCCCUCACCUCCUUGGUUGGAGUUUGGAUGCCCAGGGGUUUGUCUCUUCCAUAUACGAUAGGAUGCAUCAAGACCUGGGCCGAUGACGGGACCUACGCCAAAGAUUUUAUCUAGAAAACAUAACCUCUUUACAAUAUACAUGUAUUUUUGUUCAACAUUAAAUAUGUAAACUAACA